GGAAUCUCUAGCUAAGGGAUAGCUGAUAAAUAGAAUGAAAUAGAAAGAAAAAAGAAGGGGGGAAAACUGGAGAAAAUGGUACGUGAUGACCUUAAACUAAAGUAACAUCGAUUUCCAAAUACAAGGUGCACAAGGUUAAUCAAGAACUUCAUAUAAUUCAUCUCAUAAUUGAAUAAAAAAUUCCUCUUAUACUUCUAUUCAUUCAUGAAAAAGACAUUUGGAAGCCUAGAUGUUGAAGAGGUGUCAUAUAACUCUCACAACUAUCUUUCUUAUUUCCUCAAACUUUCAAGACCAAGAGAUGCCAACAGGCACAACCUA
Molecule: unclassified non-coding RNA, 318 nt
Filed under: Hevea brasiliensis (rubber tree)
Lineage: Eukaryota; Viridiplantae; Streptophyta; Magnoliopsida; Malpighiales; Euphorbiaceae
Source: RNAcentral